This 134-nucleotide small RNA is filed under the name Salmonella enterica. RNAcentral's name for it is "RtT sRNA". It matches the Rfam family "RtT RNA". Rfam says of the family: This family represents a bacterial cis-regulatory element known as RtT RNA. The exact function of RtT is unknown although it is thought that it may be involved in changing the cellular response in relation to amino acid starvation. The record is from RNAcentral. Lineage: Bacteria; Pseudomonadati; Pseudomonadota; Gammaproteobacteria; Enterobacterales; Enterobacteriaceae.
UGUAUCUGAAGCCUGACGAGGAUGAGAACCUCCGGGGGCAAGAGAUUCGACUUGAGCGAAGCGAGAGAACGUUGCGUCAGCAACGGCCCGCAGGGCGAGCCACGCAGUGGCGAGUCAUCCUCUAUCACCGACCA